GUCUGUGCGUCCGUUCGUCCGUCCGUUUGUCCGUCCGUUCGUUCGUCCGUCUGUCCCGCUUCAGGUUAAAGUUUUUGGUCAAGGUAGUUUUUGAUGAAGUUGAAGUCCAAUCGACUUCAAACUUAGUAAACAUGUUCCCUAUGAUAUGAUCUUUUUAGUUUUAAUGCCAAAUUAGAGGGUUUACCCCAAUUUUACGGUCCACUGAACAUAGAAAAUGAUAGUGCGAGUGGGGCAUUCGUGUACUGGGGACACAUUCUUGUUGGUGAUAAUUCAAAAUUUCAUUUUUGAGUUAUUGAGUAUUUUGUAAAAAAGGGG
Molecule: long non-coding RNA, 315 nt
Filed under: Mytilus galloprovincialis (Mediterranean mussel)
Lineage: Eukaryota; Metazoa; Mollusca; Bivalvia; Mytilida; Mytilidae
Source: RNAcentral